RNAcentral lists this ribosomal RNA (252 nucleotides) under uncultured prokaryote. RNAcentral's name for it is "partial 16S ribosomal RNA". It matches the Rfam family "Bacterial small subunit ribosomal RNA", at positions 524 to 776 of the family's 1533-position model. The record is from RNAcentral.
UACGUAGGGGGCAAGCGUUGUCCGGAAUUAUUGGGCGUAAAGCGCGCGCAGGCGGUCAUGUAAGUCUGGUGUUUAAACCCGGGGCUCAACUCCGGGUCGCAUCGGAAACUGUGUGACUUGAGUGCAGAAGAGGAAAGUGGAAUUCCACGUGUAGCGGUGAAAUGCGUAGAUAUGUGGAGGAACACCAGUGGCGAAGGCGACUUUCUGGGCUGUAACUGACGCUGAGGCGCGAAAGCGUGGGGAGCAAACAGG